This 253-nucleotide ribosomal RNA is filed under the name uncultured bacterium. RNAcentral's name for it is "partial 16S ribosomal RNA". It matches the Rfam family "Bacterial small subunit ribosomal RNA", at positions 524 to 776 of the family's 1533-position model. The record is from RNAcentral.
UACGGAGGAUGCAAGCGUUAUCCGGAUUUAUUGGGUUUAAAGGGUACGUAGGCGGAAUAUUAAGUCAGUGGUGAAAUCUUGCAGCUUAACUGUAAAACUGCCAUUGAUACUGAUGUUCUUGAGUGUAGUUGGAGUAGAUGGAAUGUGUUGUGUAGCGGUGAAAUGCAUUGAUAUAACACAGAACACCAAUCGCGAAAGCAGUCUACUAAGCUAUUACUGACGCUGAGGUACGAAAGCAUGGGGAGCGAACAGG